This 429-nucleotide ribosomal RNA is filed under the name Bacteroidota bacterium. RNAcentral describes it as "Bacteroidetes bacterium partial 16S ribosomal RNA". It matches the Rfam family "Bacterial small subunit ribosomal RNA", at positions 355 to 776 of the family's 1533-position model. The record is from RNAcentral. Lineage: Bacteria; Pseudomonadati; Bacteroidota.
UAGGGAAUCUUCCGCAAUGGGCGAAAGCCUGACGGAGCAACGCCGCGUGAGUGAUGAAGGUCUUCGGAUCGUAAAACUCUGUUAUUAGGGAAGAACAAAUGUGUAAGUAACUAUGCACAUCUUGACGGUACCUAAUCAGAAAGCCACGGCUAACUACGUGCCAGCAGCCGCGGUAAUACGUAGGUGGCAAGCGUUAUCCGGAAUUAUUGGGCGUAAAGCGCGCGUAGGCGGUUUUUUAAGUCUGAUGUGAAAGCCCACGGCUCAACCGUGGAGGGUCAUUGGAAACUGGAAAACUUGAGUGCAGAAGAGGAAAGUGGAAUUCCAUGUGUGGCGGUGAAAUGCGCAGAGAUAUGGAGGAACACCAGUGGCGAAGGCGACUUUCUGGUCUGUAACUGACGCUGAUGUGCGAAAGCGUGGGGAUCAAACAGG